AAGACUGUCAAAUGUUUGCAUAUGGAAAUGCAUAAAUAGUCUUAAAUUACAAUUAUAUUUGUACAAGAAGAGCUAUAUUAUUAUCAUCUAUGGACAAUGUAUUGUAGUGAUGCACCGACAUGAAAAUGAUUGGCUGAAAACAAAAAUGAGGAACCCUAGGCCGAAAACCGAAACACCGGAAGAAAUGAUUAUGCCAAUUAGUCAUAAAAUUGCCUUUAUGGCUAUGCCCAUGUACUAUCCUCACCAAAAAUCCUGUCACAAUAUUUGAUUGACUGCCAACCAGUCCAGGGUGCACCCCACUUCUUUCACCAAAAGGCAACCAGGAUAGGCUCCAGCUCACCUGUGAGCCUAAAUUGUCUUGAAGCGUGAAUAUGAGGGUGCAUUUUCAUUUGUCUUUAUGUGCCCUGACAUUGGCUGACGAUCAAUCAAGGGUUUACCCCACUUUUUUCACCAAAAGUCUGCUCUAACUCACCCGAGCGUGAUCAUAAAUUGUCCCUAGAUAUAAAUGUUUGCUUAUUGAUAUGUAUGUGCUCUGUCAUUGACUGUACGUCACCCCACUUCUCUCGCUAAAAGUCAACCGGGACAGGCUCCAGCUCACAGUGACCCCCGUAUGCAUAAAUAUGACUGCAAGUGUUAAUUCUUGUUUGUCAAUAAGUUGCCCCUGCCAACGGCUGGCAACCACUCCAGGGUGUAACCAACUUCUGUCGCCAAAAGUCAACUGGGAUAGGCUCUUCCUUUCAUUGGCAAACCUUCACAGGCGUAAGCGUUGAGUGUGAAUGCUUGGUUGUGUAUAAGUGCCCUGACAUUGACUUGCAACCAGUCCAGGCUGUACCCCACUUCUCUCUUCAAACAAAUAUACGGCGUCAUCACAACAAGAAGUGGUGGCCCGAUUGGUCAUAAAGUCACGUGUAGUCAGGUGUGUGCUGAGAAAAAGCAGCUGGUGUGAGGUGAGCAAACAAGACGCAGGUGCACGGCGUGGAACACCUGGUGGCGCCGUCCUGAGCAAACAGACGCCACAGGAAGUGCUCUGGACAAGAGGCAAAACAAACCAGGGUGCUGGCUAAAUGUCAACAACGACAUGGAGGACAAAGGCUGAUGGCAGGCUGAUGGCACAGGUUCCCUUGCCAAGGGCGGCGGGGAUCAUGAGCACAUUCAAAUGUCAAAUACGCCUCGGGAGAAAAUCAAACGCUACAUGCGGAAAUCCCGAGACUUUUGCUCCACCGCAAGAUACAAUUUGCAGUUUGGUGCGUAAACUUUCUAGGACGUCACAUCGUUCAAGCUUUUUAUGACAGAUUAUUUCCAUGGGGGCGGCACGGUAGAUGACCGGUUAGCACAUCUGCCUCACACUUCUGUGGACCGAGGUUCAAAUCCCGGCCCCACCUGUGUGUAGUUUGGAUGUUCUCCCCAUGCCUGCGUGGGUUUUCUCCGGGCACUCCGGUUUCCUCCCAAAUCCGCAAAAACAUGCAUGGUAGUUUGAUUGAAGACUCUAAAUUGCCCUUAGGCGUGAAUGUGUGCGCGAAUGGUUGUUUGUUUAUAUGUGCCCUGCAAUUGGCUGGCGACCAGUUCAGGGUGUACCCCGCCUCUCGCCUGAAGAUAGCUGGGAUACUCUCCAGCACGCCCGAUACAGACAAUGGAUGGAUGAAUGGAUGGAUUCAUAUUUGGUUGCACACACUUUAGCAGCGAUGACAGCCUCCAAAGGUUUCUUGUAUCCAUCCAUAAGCUUUUUGCACUUUUCAGGCGGUAUUUUUUUCUGACUCUUCUUUUGCAAUUUGUUCAAGCUCUUGAACAUUCGCAGCUUCUUUCCCCCAAUGGCAGAUUUCAGCUCCCCCACAAAGAUUUUCAAUUGUAUUGAGGUCAGGACUCAUUGCUGGCCAUUUUAAAACUUUCAAUUUUUUUCCCUUUUCAACCAUUCCUGUGUGCUUUUGAAUGUGUGCUUUGGGUCUUUGUCUUGCUGGAGGACCCAUGAUCUUCGCCUCAAACCAAGUUUUCUUACACUGGGUAAAACAUUUUGCUCUAAAAUCUCUAAUUUUCUGAUUUCAUGAUACCUGUGCUAGAGUCAAGGCCUCCAGUACCAGAUGUAACAAAGCAGCCCCACAGCAUUAUUGAUCCUCCACCAUGCUUGACUGUUGGCAGGGUGUUCUUUUCCUUAAAGGCUUCAUUGCACCGUCUGUAAACAGACUGUUUGUGUGCAUUGCUAAAAAGCUCUAUUCUUGUUUCGUCUGUCCAUAAAGUAUCGGUAUUGUUUUAUCAUUUGCUCUUUUGUAUCAAACACAAGUUCUCUUUAGAAAAAUCUUGUUUCACUUGAUUCAUUUUCUUCAGGAGAUAUCCGACAUUUAGUACUUAAACUUCAUGGGUGCCAAUAAUGGUGAGCACGACCAUAUUCAUGAACAAUCUGCCACAUACACUGAUGUUGUAAACACGUACACCGAUUUAAUAUAUAUGUAAACUUUAUGUGAUAUAAUUCUUGUGUGCUGAUGUAAUUUGUGAUGAUUUUAUUUUUGUUGGAGGUUGCUGUUAAGGUGACUAAAUUGUGACUAUAAUUGAUUAAAAUGUGGAACUAACGCGCUGAAUGCCA
Long non-coding RNA from Phyllopteryx taeniolatus (common seadragon), 2575 nucleotides. RefSeq lists it as uncharacterized. The transcript is spliced from 2 exons. Lineage: Eukaryota; Metazoa; Chordata; Actinopteri; Syngnathiformes; Syngnathidae. The record is from RefSeq and is a predicted model, not a curated record.